This 28-nucleotide small RNA is filed under the name Bombyx mori (domestic silkworm). RNAcentral describes it as "ovarian small RNA-20206". The record is from RNAcentral. Lineage: Eukaryota; Metazoa; Arthropoda; Insecta; Lepidoptera; Bombycidae.
UACACGAAUUCGUCUACAACCUCUAAUC